This 484-nucleotide ribosomal RNA is filed under the name uncultured bacterium. Its description in RNAcentral is "partial 16S ribosomal RNA". It matches the Rfam family "Bacterial small subunit ribosomal RNA", at positions 29 to 507 of the family's 1533-position model. The record is from RNAcentral.
AUUGAACGCUGGCGGCAUGCUUUACACAUGCCAGUCGAACGGCAGCGCGGGCUUCGGCCUGGCGGCGAGUGGCGAACGGGUGAGUAAUACAUCGGAACGUGCCCAGUAGUGGGGGAUAGCUCGGCGAAAGCCGGAUUAAUACCGCAUACGACCUGAGGGUGAAAGCGGGGGAUCUUCGGACCUCUCGCUAUUGGGGCGGCCGAUGGCAGAUUAGCUAGUUGGUGGGGUAAAGGCCUACCAAGGCGACGAUCUGUAGCUGGUCUGAGAGGACGACCAGCCACACUGGGACUGAGACACGGCCCAGACUCCUACGGGAGGCAGCAGUGGGGAAUUUUGGACAAUGGGCGAAAGCCUGAUCCAGCAAUGCCGCGUGUGUGAUGAAGGCCUUCGGGUUGUAAAGCACUUUUGGCGGGAACGAAAAGGACUGUGCCAAUACCACGGUUCGAUGACGGUACCCGCAGAAUAAGCACCGGCUAACUACGUG